Molecule: ribosomal RNA, 467 nt
Filed under: uncultured bacterium
Lineage: Bacteria
Description: bacterial SSU rRNA
Rfam family: Bacterial small subunit ribosomal RNA
Source: RNAcentral
GCCAGACUCCUACGGGAGGCAGCAGUGAGGAAUAUUGGUCAAUGGUCGGGAGACUGAACCAGCCAAGCCGCGUGAGGGAUGAAGGUACAGAGUAUCGUAAACCUCUUUUGUCAGGGAACAAAGGCGGGGACGUGUCCCCGGAUGAGUGUACCUGAAGAAAAAGCAUCGGCUAACUCCGUGCCAGCAGCCGCGGUAAUACGGAGGAUGCGAGCGUUAUCCGGAUUUAUUGGGUUUAAAGGGUGCGUAGGCGGAACGCCAAGUCAGCGGUAAAAUCGCGGGGCCCACCCCCGCUCCGCCGUUGAAACUGGCGUUCUUGAGUGGGCGAGAAGUAUGCGGAAUGCGCAGUGUAGCGGUGAAAUGCUUAGAUAUUGCGCAGAACUCCGAUUGCGAAGGCAGCAUACCGGCGGCGAUCUGACGCUGAGGCACGAAAGCGUGGGUAUCGAACAGGAUUAGAUACCCCCGUAGCC